AGGGAAACCGAGUCUUAACUGGGCGUUAAGUUGCAGGGUAUAGACCCGAAACCCGGUGAUCUAGCCAUGGGCAGGUUGAAGGUUGGGUAACACUAACUGGAGGACCGAACCGACUAAUGUUGAAAAAUUAGCGGAUGACUUGUGGCUGGGGGUGAAAGGCCAAUCAAACCGGGAGAUAGCUGGUUCUCCCCGAAAGCUAUUUAGGUAGCGCCUCGUGAACUCAUCUUCGGGGGUAGAGCACUGUUUCGGCUAGGGGGUCAUCCCGACUUACCAACCCGAUGCAAACUGCGAAUACCGAAGAAUGUUAUCACGGGAGACACACGGCGGGUGCUAACGUCCGUCGUGAAGAGGGAAACAACCCAGACCGCCAGCUAAGGUCCCAAAGUCACAGUUAAGUGGGAAACGAUGUGGGAAGGCUCAGACAGCCAGGAUGUUGGCUUAGAAGCAGCCAUCAUUUAAAGAAAGCGUAAUAGCUCACUGGUCGAGUCGGCCUGCGCGGAAGAUGUAACGGGGCUAAACUGUGCACCGAAGCUGCGGCAGCGACGCUUAUGCGUUGUUGGGUAGGGGAGCGUUCUGUAAGCCUGCGAAGGUGUCCUGUGAGGGAUGCUGGAGGUAUCAGAAGUGCGAAUGCUGACAUAAGUAACGAUAAUGCGGGUGAAAAGCCCGCUCGCCGGAAGACCAAGGGUUCCUGUCCAACGUUAAUCGGGGCAGGGUGAGUCGACCCCUAAGGCGAGGCCGAAAGGCGUAGUCGAUGGGAAACGGGUUAAUAUUCCCGUACUUGGUGUUACUGCGAAGGGGGGACGGAGAAGGCUAUGUUGGCCGGGCGACGGUUGUCCCGGUUUAAGCGUGUAGGCUGGUUUUC
RNAcentral lists this ribosomal RNA (862 nucleotides) under Salmonella enterica. RNAcentral's name for it is "partial 23S ribosomal RNA". It matches the Rfam family "Bacterial large subunit ribosomal RNA", at positions 670 to 1533 of the family's 2925-position model. The record is from RNAcentral. Lineage: Bacteria; Pseudomonadati; Pseudomonadota; Gammaproteobacteria; Enterobacterales; Enterobacteriaceae. RNAcentral also lists the same sequence under 1 other name.